UAGGGAAUCUUCGGCAAUGGACGGAAGUCUGACCGAGCAACGCCGCGUGAGUGAAGAAGGUUUUCGGAUCGUAAAGCUCUGUUGUAAGAGAAGAACGAGUGUGAGAGUGGAAAGUUCACACUGUGACGGUAUCUUACCAGAAAGGGACGGCUAACUACGUGCCAGCAGCCGCGGUAAUACGUAGGUCCCGAGCGUUGUGCGGAUUUAUUGGGCGUAAAGCGAGCGCAGGCGGUUAGAUAAGUCUGAAGUUAAAGGCUGUGGCUUAACCAUAGUACGCUUUGGAAACUGUUUAACUUGAGUGCAAGAGGGGAGAGUGGAAUUCCAUGUGUAGCGGUGAAAUGCGUAGAUAUAUGGAGGAACACCGGUGGCGAAAGCGGCUCUCUGGCUUGUAACUGACGCUGAGGCUCGAAAGCGUGGGGAGCAAACAGG
This 429-nucleotide ribosomal RNA is filed under the name uncultured prokaryote. RNAcentral describes it as "bacterial SSU rRNA". It matches the Rfam family "Bacterial small subunit ribosomal RNA", at positions 355 to 776 of the family's 1533-position model. RNAcentral also lists the same sequence under 1 other name. The record is from RNAcentral.